CCAGGGGUUGAAACCCCUGGCUAUUACCGGACGCCCCGUUGGGGCG
This 46-nucleotide small RNA is filed under the name Gemmata sp. SH-PL17. RNAcentral describes it as "Acido-Lenti-1 RNA". It matches the Rfam family "Acido-Lenti-1 RNA". Lineage: Bacteria; Pseudomonadati; Planctomycetota; Planctomycetia; Gemmatales; Gemmataceae. The record is from Rfam by way of RNAcentral.